Molecule: ribosomal RNA, 497 nt
Filed under: uncultured bacterium
Lineage: Bacteria
Description: partial 16S ribosomal RNA
Rfam family: Bacterial small subunit ribosomal RNA
Source: RNAcentral
GAUGAACGCUGGCGGCGUGCCUAAUACAUGCAAGUCGAGCGAACAGACGAGGAGCUUGCUCCUCUGACGUUAGCGGCGGACGGGUGAGUAACACGUGGAUAACCUACCUAUAAGACUGGGAUAACUUCGGGAAACCGGAGCUAAUACCGGAUAAUAUAUUGAACCGCAUGGUUCAAUAGUGAAAGACGGUUUUGCUGUCACUUAUAGAUGGAUCCGCGCCGCAUUAGCUAGUUGGUAAGGUAACGGCUUACCAAGGCAACGAUGCGUAGCCGACCUGAGAGAGUGAUCGGCCACACUGGAACUGAGACACGGUCCAGACUCCUACGGGAGGCAGCAGUAGGGAAUCUUCCGCAAUGGGCGAAAGCUUGACGGAGCAACGCCGCGUGAGUGAUGAAGGUCUUCGGAUCGUAAAACUCUGUUAUUAGGGAAGAACAAAUGUGUAAGUAACUAUGCACGUCUUGACGGCACCUAAUCAGAAAGCCACGGCUAACUACGUG